UACGUAGGUGGCAAGCGUUGUCCGGAAUCACUGGGCGUAAAGCGCGCGCAGGCGGCGAUCUACGUCUGGGGUGAAAGCCCGGAGCUCAACUCCGGGACUGCCUUGGAUACGGGAUCGCUUGAGGAUUGGAGAGGCAAGGGGAAUUCCACGUGUAGCGGUGAAAUGCGUAGAUAUCGAUCGGAACACCCAUGGCGAAGGCAGCUCGCUGGCCUGCAACUGACGCUGAGGCGCGAAAGCGUGGGGAGCAAACAGG
Molecule: ribosomal RNA, 253 nt
Filed under: uncultured bacterium
Lineage: Bacteria
Description: partial 16S ribosomal RNA
Rfam family: Bacterial small subunit ribosomal RNA
Source: RNAcentral